GAUGAACGCUGGCGGCGUGCCUAAUACAUGCAAGUCGAGCGAACAGACGCGGAGCUUGCUCCUCUGACGUUAGCUGCGGACGGGUGAUUAACCCGUUGAUAACCUACCUCUAAUACUGAGAUCACUUCGUGAACCCUGUGCUAAUACCGAAUAAUAUAUUCACCCACAUGUUUCAUUAGUGAAAGACGGUUUUGCUGUCACUUAUGGAUGGAUCCACGCCGCAUUAGGUAGUUGGUAAGGUAACGGCUUACCAAGCCAACGAUGCGUAGCCGACCUGAGAGAGUGAUCGGCGACAGUGGAACAGAGACACGGUCCAGACUCCUACGGGAGGCAGAAGUAGAGAAUCUUCCGAAAUGGGCGAGAGCAUGACGGAGCAACGCCGCGUAAGUGAUGAAGGUAUGCGGAUCGGAAAAAAGUGUUAUUAGGGAAGAACAAAUGUGUAAGUAACUAUGCACGUAUUGACGGUACCUAAUCAGAAAGCCACGGCUAACUACGUG
Molecule: ribosomal RNA, 497 nt
Filed under: uncultured bacterium
Lineage: Bacteria
Description: partial 16S ribosomal RNA
Rfam family: Bacterial small subunit ribosomal RNA
Source: RNAcentral